CUGCGGAAGGAUCAUUACUGAGUUAGGGUCUCAUCUCGAGCCCGAACCUCCAACCCUUUGUAUAAAACACUUUGUUGCUUUGGCAGGCCCGUCUGAAAAUCCUUUAACCGGGAUCGACGACCGCCGGGGGCGUUUAGUCACCUCUGGCCAGUGCUUGCCGAUAGCCUAUUCAAAAUUCUUUAUUAAAUCAUGUCUGAAAAAUUAUAACUAAAUAUAAUUAAAACUUUUAACAACGGAUCUCUUGGUUCUGGCAUCGAUGAAGAACGCAGCGAAAUGCGAUAAGUAAUGUGAAUUGCAGAAUUCAGUGAAUCAUCGAAUCUUUGAACGCACAUUGCGCCCUUUGGUAUUCCGAAGGGCAUGCCUGUUCGAGCGUCAUUAUCAACCCUCAAGCUCGGCUUGUUAUUGGGCUCUUAUCGUUACAGAUAGGCCCGAAAGAUAAUGGCGGCGUCAUAAAUGACCCCAGAUGCAGCGAGCUUAUAGCAUACAUCGAAAGGUUUUUAUGGCCCGGCCUUAACGAGAAGCAAUUCUCAAUUUAUUUAAAGGUGA
RNAcentral lists this ribosomal RNA (546 nucleotides) under Eurotiomycetes sp. Its description in RNAcentral is "eukaryotic LSU rRNA". The stretch from base 222 to 375 matches the Rfam family "5.8S ribosomal RNA". Lineage: Eukaryota; Fungi; Ascomycota; Eurotiomycetes. The record is from RNAcentral.